Molecule: long non-coding RNA, 216 nt
Filed under: Elaeis guineensis (African oil palm)
Lineage: Eukaryota; Viridiplantae; Streptophyta; Magnoliopsida; Arecales; Arecaceae
Description: long non-coding RNA (EGUI_LNC048287)
Source: RNAcentral
CCCAAACUUCCAAGGGUCAUCUGAUGACACGAUAAAUUUAAAAAUGCAUAGAAAUAAAGGAAAGAAAUAAAGAGUUUUAAGUGAAUUGAACUCUUUCAAUUCAAUCGCCAAAUAAUGUGGUGUCCCACACUUAUUUUGGUGUGGAGUUCCUUCCAAGAGAAGGACUCUACUUCCUCUUCCACAUCCCAUAUCCCAAGGCACCAUCUAAUGGUGCAC